Molecule: long non-coding RNA, 134 nt
Organism: Lagopus muta (rock ptarmigan)
Lineage: Eukaryota; Metazoa; Chordata; Aves; Galliformes; Phasianidae
Exons: 3
Source: RefSeq, a predicted model, not a curated record
CUGGUGUUUUGUGGUGAGCCUAGCAUAAGGCAUUUGUUUUCCUGACCUGUUCCCUGUCCCCGAAAUACCUUGGAUAACAGAACUAUGCUUUCACCUUCUGCUUAAGAUUAGGAAUUCCUGGGCAAAUGCUGUGU